Molecule: small nucleolar RNA, 119 nt
Organism: Erinaceus europaeus (western European hedgehog)
Lineage: Eukaryota; Metazoa; Chordata; Mammalia; Eulipotyphla; Erinaceidae
Source: Ensembl
UGAAUCUUUUCCACUCCUUGCUGUUUUGUGCAGGUGUGAGGACAGAUAUGAGCAGAAGAAAUCCAGACAGGUUGUUUUCCAUUUGUCUUGGGACCUGUCUCUGUAAUUCUGCCACACUA